RNAcentral lists this ribosomal RNA (253 nucleotides) under uncultured bacterium. RNAcentral describes it as "partial 16S ribosomal RNA". It matches the Rfam family "Bacterial small subunit ribosomal RNA", at positions 524 to 776 of the family's 1533-position model. The record is from RNAcentral.
GACGAACCGUGCGAACGUUGUUCGGAAUCACUGGGUUUAAAGGGCGCGUAGGCGGGCUGUCAAGUCGGUGGUGAAAUCUUUCGGCUCAACCGGAAAAUCGCCUUCGAUACUGGCGGCCUUGAGGGAGGUAGGGGCAUGCGGAACUUCCGGUGGAGCGGUGAAAUGCGUAGAUAUCGGAAGGAACACCGAUGGCGAAAGCAGCGUGCUGGACCUUUUCUGACGCUGAGGCGCGAAAGCCAGGGGAGCAAACGGG